This 636-nucleotide ribosomal RNA is filed under the name Arthrobacter sp. RNAcentral describes it as "bacterial SSU rRNA". It matches the Rfam family "Bacterial small subunit ribosomal RNA", at positions 68 to 716 of the family's 1533-position model. The record is from RNAcentral. Lineage: Bacteria; Bacillati; Actinomycetota; Actinomycetes; Micrococcales; Micrococcaceae.
GAUGAUCUCCNGCUUGCUGGGGGGNUUAGUGGCGAACGGGUGAGUAACACGUGAGUAACCUGCCCUUGACUCUGGGAUAAGCCUGGGAAACUGGGUCUAAUACCGGAUACGACCGUCCCGCGCAUGCGGUGGUGGUGGAAAGCUUUUGCGGUUUUGGAUGGACUCGCGGCCUAUCAGCUUGUUGGUGGGGUAAUGGCCUACCAAGGCGACGACGGGUAGCCGGCCUGAGAGGGUGACCGGCCACACUGGGACUGAGACACGGCCCAGACUCCUACGGGAGGCAGCAGUGGGGAAUAUUGCACAAUGGGCGAAAGCCUGAUGCAGCGACGCCGCGUGAGGGAUGACGGCCUUCGGGUUGUAAACCUCUUUCAGUAGGGAAGAAGCGAAAGUGACGGUACCUGCAGAAGAAGCGCCGGCUAACUACGUGCCAGCAGCCGCGGUAAUACGUAGGGCGCAAGCGUUAUCCGGAAUUAUUGGGCGUAAAGAGCUCGUAGGCGGUUUGUCGCGUCUGCUGUGAAAGACCGGGGCUCAACUCCGGUUCUGCAGUGGGUACGGGCAGACUAGAGUGAUGUAGGGGAGACUGGAAUUCCUGGUGUAGCGGUGAAAUGCGCAGAUAUCAGGAGGAACACCGAUGGC